AAUAUUGGGCAAUGGACGCAAGCCUGAAGCAGCCAUGCCGCGUGCAGGAUGACGGUCCUAUGGUUUGAAAACUGCUUUUGCACAGGCAGAAAUAGAGUUACGUGUAGCAUAUUGACGGUACUGUAAGAAUAAGGAUCGGCUAACUACGUGCCAGCAGCCGCGGUAAUACGGAGGUUCCAAGCGUUAUCCGGAAUAAUUGGGUUUAAAGGGGCCGUAGGCGGCCUUAUAAGUCAGCGGUGAAAGUUUUUGGCUUAACCAAAAAAUUGCCGUUGAUACUGUAGGGCUUGAAUGUUUGUGAAGUAAGUAGAAUAUGUAGUGUAGCGGUGAAAUGCUUAGAUAUUACAUGGAAUACCAAUUGCGAAGGCAGGUUACUAACAAACGAUUGACGCUGAUGGACGAAAGCGUGGGUAGCGAACAG
RNAcentral lists this ribosomal RNA (418 nucleotides) under uncultured bacterium. RNAcentral's name for it is "partial 16S ribosomal RNA". It matches the Rfam family "Bacterial small subunit ribosomal RNA", at positions 360 to 775 of the family's 1533-position model. The record is from RNAcentral.